Saccostrea echinata is the source of this 247-nucleotide long non-coding RNA. RefSeq lists it as uncharacterized. The record is from RefSeq and is a predicted model, not a curated record. Lineage: Eukaryota; Metazoa; Mollusca; Bivalvia; Ostreida; Ostreidae. The transcript has 3 exons.
CAAACAUGAAAAUAACACAGUUUACUGUAAUAUUCCUUUGCCUAAUGUUCUGUGCUUUGACAAUCAUUGCAAGCACUACCUGUGACGGAAAAAGCGGAGUUACAUGCUGCUUUGGAUACAAAUGGAGCAAAGAGUACCAGGCUUGCAUCAAGUGUAGUCCUGGAUACUUUGGGAACAAUUGCUCCCAGAUUUGUCCCUAUCCAACGUACGGGGAUAAGUGUAAAAACGUCUGUAAUUGUGACCCAGA